CCUACGGGGGGCAGCAGUGGGGAAUAUUGGGCAAUGGGCGCAAGCCUGAACCAGCCAAGUAGCGUGAAGGAUGACUGCCCUACGGGUUGUAAACUUCUUUUAAAAAGGAAUAAAGUGAGGCACGUGUGCCUUGUUGUAUGUACGUUAUGAAUAAGGCUAGGCUAACUCCGGGCCAGCACCCGAGGUAAAACGGAGGAACCGGGCGUUAUUCGGAUUUAUUGGGUUUAAAGGGAGCGUAGGUGUGUGGUUAAGUUAGUGGUGAAAGUUUGCGGCUCAACCGUCAAACUGCAAUUGAUACUGGCAGUCUUGAGUACAGUUGAGGUAGGCGGAAUUCGUGGUGUAGCGGUGAAAUGCUUAGAUAUCACGAAGAACUCCGAUUGCGAAGGCAGCUUACUAAACUGCCACUGACAUUGAUGCUCGAAAGUGUGGGUAUCAAACAGGAUUAGAUACCCCAGUAGUC
RNAcentral lists this ribosomal RNA (460 nucleotides) under uncultured bacterium. RNAcentral describes it as "partial 16S ribosomal RNA". It matches the Rfam family "Bacterial small subunit ribosomal RNA", at positions 338 to 795 of the family's 1533-position model. The record is from RNAcentral.